This 503-nucleotide ribosomal RNA is filed under the name uncultured bacterium. RNAcentral describes it as "partial 16S ribosomal RNA". It matches the Rfam family "Bacterial small subunit ribosomal RNA", at positions 29 to 507 of the family's 1533-position model. The record is from RNAcentral.
AACGAACGCUGGCGGCGUGCCUAACACAUGCAAGUCGAACGAGAAAGGGGCUUCGGCUCCGAGUAAAGUGGCGCACGGGUGAGUAGCACGUGGGUAACCUGCCUCUAAGAUUGGGAUAACUCGUCGAAAGAUGAGCUAAUACCGAAUAAGACCACAGUUCCCGCGGGAACAGGGGUCAAAGGUAGCCUCUGCUUGCAAGCUAUCACUUAGAGAUGGGCCUGCGCACCAUUAGCUAGUUGGUAGGGUAAUGGCCUACCAAGGCAAAGAUGGUUAGCUGGUCUGAGAGGAUGAUCAGGCAAACUGGAACUGAGAAACGGUCCAGACUCCUACGGGAGGCAGCAGUGGGGAAUAUUGCGCAAUGGGCGAAAGCUUGACGCAGCAACGCCGCGUGAGUGAUGAAGGCCUUCGGGUCGUAAAGCUCUGUCGGGAGGGACGAAUGCUCCUGAGGUUAACAGCCUCGGGAGGUGACGGUACCUACAAAGGAAGCACCGGCUAACUCUGUG